ACACCAUUCUCUAUUCUCUCAUUCAUUUUUUUAAUCUUCUUCCUCACAUGUUUUCUUUACUGAGUGGAAAUCUUUUGAUUUCCAGAUGUAAUUUAAUUAAUUAGAGCUAGUACUGCAAUAAAGAGUACAACUACUAAACUACUUUUGGACUAGUGGAUUUUUAUGAGAAGUCACAAUAGUUUCAAACUUAUUGCGAGGCACUGUAUCUCGAUAAACCUUUUUUUAAAGAUAAAAAAUAAAAUAAUAAAAUAAAUAAAGAAAAAAGUUAAAAUAAUAAAAUAAAUAGCUGCAGGUGUUGCAGUCUGAACUUCACAGACUCCGUUGCUUGGGUCGGCAUAUGGUCAACAUCUGAAGAUGCACCAGACCAUUGAGUUCUGGGUAUUUUAGACCAAAAAAAAAAACGAUGAAAAAGAUGAAAACCAUUGAUUUCUCCUGAUUCUUCACCUUCGCUGCGUUUGCCAAUGUUGAUGUUCGCAACUUGCAAGGCAUUGGUGAGAAAAACAUGAGGGCAGGGUUCGGGCAGGGCGAUUCGUGCCUGAUCAAACAAGAGAGGAUGUUGUCUCCUUACCGCUUCGAUAUAGGGUUUUCUCAAGAGAUCUUAUCUUUCAGCUACAUAGAAUAUGUUUGCUUCUUUUAUCUUUUGAUUGUCUAUUAGUUAGAGGUGAUAUGCUAAGAUUAGGUAGAUAGGGCAACCAUACCUUUGGGCACCUAUGGUCUUUUUAUGAUCGAAAGACAA
RNAcentral lists this small RNA (736 nucleotides) under Histoplasma capsulatum. RNAcentral describes it as "hypothetical RNA". Lineage: Eukaryota; Fungi; Ascomycota; Eurotiomycetes; Onygenales; Ajellomycetaceae. The record is from RNAcentral. RNAcentral also lists the same sequence under 1 other name.